AUUGAACGCUGGCGGCAGGCCUAACACAUGCAAGUCGAGCGGGUGAAGGGAGCUUGCUCCUGGAUGCAGCGGCGGACGGGGGAGUAAUGCCUAUGAAUCUGCCUUGUAGUGGGGGAUAACGUCCGGAAACGGGCGCUAAUACCGCAUACGUCCUGAUGGAGAAAGUGGGGGGGCUUAGGACUUCUCGCUUUCGGAUUAGGCUAGGUGGGAUUAGAUAGUUGGUGGGGUAAAGGCCGAACAAGGCGACGAUCCGUAACUGGUCUGAGAGGAUGAUCAGCCACACGGGGACUGAGACACGGCCCAGACUCCGACGGGAGGCAGCAGUGUGGAAUAUUGGACAAUGGGCGAAAGCCUGAUCCAGCAAUGCCGCGUGAGUGAUGAAGGCCUUAGGGUUGUAAAGCUCUGUUACCCGGGAUGAUAAGGACAGUACCGAGAGAAUAAGCUCCGGCUAACUCCGUG
RNAcentral lists this ribosomal RNA (459 nucleotides) under uncultured bacterium. RNAcentral describes it as "partial 16S ribosomal RNA". It matches the Rfam family "Bacterial small subunit ribosomal RNA", at positions 30 to 507 of the family's 1533-position model. The record is from RNAcentral.